RNAcentral lists this transfer RNA (76 nucleotides) under Nitrospinota bacterium. RNAcentral's name for it is "tRNA-Pro". It matches the Rfam family "tRNA". Rfam says of the family: Transfer RNA (tRNA) molecules are approximately 80 nucleotides in length. The record is from RNAcentral. Lineage: Bacteria; Pseudomonadati; Nitrospinota.
CGGGGUGUAGCGCAGUUGGUAGCGCACCUGCUUUGGGAGCAGGGGGCCGCGUGUUCGAAUCACGCCACCCCGACCA